Molecule: long non-coding RNA, 2279 nt
Filed under: Homo sapiens (human)
Lineage: Eukaryota; Metazoa; Chordata; Mammalia; Primates; Hominidae
Description: HSALNT0399730
Source: RNAcentral
UACAAUUCAAUUGAGAUUUGAAUGGGGACACAGCCAACAUAUCAACAUGCCCUUGGCCCAGCAAUUCCACCUGAGUAUGUGCCCAACAGAAAUCUAUUCACUAAUGCACUCAAAGACCUAAAAAAUAAUGUUCAUAGCAGCACUGUUUAAAAUGGCCCCAACCUUGAAACAACCCCAAUGCCAUCAACAGAAUGGAUAAUAAGGUAGUUAAGUGUACACAGUGGGAAUGAACAAAUGACAACUAUAUGCAACAUGCACAAUUUCACAAAUGUAAUGUUGAGUGAAGGAAACCAGGCACAGUAAAGUACAUGCUGGAUAAUUCUGUUUAGGUAAAGUUCAAAACCAGGAAAAAGGAACCUGUGCUGUUGGAAGAGAGUUACCUUUGUCAGGGAAGUGAUGAAAAGGGAGUCCAAGGAGGGCAGCUAGGGUGCUGGUAAUGUUUUGCCUCUUGAUCUAGGCAUUGGUUGCCUAGGUGUCUUCAGUUUGUGAAAUCUCAUUGAGUUGUAGAGUUAUAUAUGUGUAUAUUUCUGUAGGAAUAUCAUACUUCAAUUUUAAUAAAAGAGUAAAGAAUGCAGCAGGCAGGGUACAUGGUGUAGAAGAGAUGGCUGAUUUUCACUGGGAAAGAUUACCCACAGCCCUGGAGUUCACUCUCUGGGCUCCCUGAUGUGCGUACUAUCCCACAGAUUGUUCUCCAAAUUAGAAUGAAUGCAGGCUGGUUUCAGUAUUAUGGGGGUGCUCCUCUGCCUCAGGUCCCAGUGCCAUUGUUACAACAUCAAAGACCAACUGCUGGCUGAGAUGCGGUCCAUAUGAAAAGAGUGACCAGCAAAUUUACUGCUUGACUUCAUUCCCCUUAAAAGGAACUGGCUCCAUGGUCCUCCUUCAAAGCUCAAUUGUAGACAUAUAUCUUCUUUAUAGGACAUCGUUUACAAUAAAGAGGAGCAAUAACUUAAAAUUUAAAAAAAAGAAUACUUUUGAGAGCACUGUGAGGUGGACAUUCCAUUUAAUAAACAUCACUGUGGUUACAUUGCCCAAACAUUCCCAGAAGUCCAGCCAUGGGCCUGAGAGACUUCUACUGGACAUGGUGACUUUUGGGGACUAAUUUGAAUUAUAUUUUUAUGCUCUAGCCCUCUCCCUAGGCUCUGAAAGUUCUUGAGAAGGUCAUUAAUGAGAGGCAAUCUACUUCAAACCAGAGGGCCACCUCACUAAAAUCAGGCAAAAUGGCAAAAUUCAUAGCCCAUUACUCAUUAACUUAUUUGGAGCUGCCCUUCAGUAGGGUAAACAUUUUUUUAAGGGUUGGGGCCAAAUUAAACUCCUGGAUCGAUUAUACAUAGUUCCCCAAUACCCACAUGGACAUCACUCCACAUAAUUCCAGUGUGAAAAUCUCACAGACUUAUUAGCAUUUCCAGAUACUAGAACUCAACUAGAAAACAACAAAGUUGUUUUUAUGCCUAUCAGAAAAUGAAGAAUGUUAUUAACUUUCCAAGAAGGAAAAAAGUAAAAUUAUUUAUAAUAUACAGGAUGUUUUUGGCUUCACAUGGAGUCUGACCCAGGUGGUGGAGAAAGUCACAUCUACGAUCAAAAUGACCAGCCUCCUGAAAACUGACCAAUCCAGAAUAAUCCUUUCAGGUUCACUCAUGAUAGCAGUUGAUCAGCCCAUAGAGGAUACAACGUUCUAAAGAGUGGGCAAGUCAUCCACUUCUGUUUAACCCAUUACUCCUGAAAAGGUUCAGCUCUCCAUACUUUGCUGGAAAAAGGCUAACAACUCAGUGCAUCCUUCCCUCUCUGCUCCCCUCACUGGUACAUUCAGGAAGACACGAACCAGGUGAGACAACUGAGAGCUCCUUACUGAGAGUGUGAAGUGUGAUGGUGGCACAACAUGCAAUUCCGAAGACAUCAUGAAAUGAGAUAAAUCUGGGGAAUCCACAUCAACUAGAAAAAAACUGGAAACAUUUGAAGAGGCAUUGGGAUCACAAAGAGAGUGAAUCUAAACAUUGAACAGCAGACAGACAAGAUAAACCUAGGCAGAGAGAAAACUUGCCUCAAUCUUGGAUUAAAUGCAGAGGUCUGCUUGAACAUUCCAAGGUCAAACUAAAAGUCUACAAGAGCAGGAGACUUGAUUCAAAACAGCUCGUCUCUGACUGGUUUUCAUGUGGGCAGAGGGGACUCUCUCGACACUAAGAUGACCACAGCUCACAUAGAGGUGUCAGCUGAAAUAUGGAGGAUUACCACUACUGUAGAAGAUGUCCUAUGCAAAAAAAAAAAAAACCAGCAUAAGCUAA